This 509-nucleotide ribosomal RNA is filed under the name uncultured bacterium. Its description in RNAcentral is "partial 16S ribosomal RNA". It matches the Rfam family "Bacterial small subunit ribosomal RNA", at positions 28 to 507 of the family's 1533-position model. The record is from RNAcentral.
GACGAACGCUGGCGGCGUGCUUAACACAUGCAAGUCGAACGAAGAGCGAUGGAAGCUUGCUUCUAUCAAUCUUAGUGGCGAACGGGUGAGUAACGCGUAAUCAACCUGCCCUUCAGAGGGGGACAACAGUUGGAACGACUGCUAAUACCGCAUACGAUCUAAUCUCGGCAUCGAGGAUAGAUGAAAGGUGGCCUCUACAUGUAAGCUAUCACUGAAGGAGGGGAUUGCGUCUGAUUAGCUAGUUGGAGGGGUAACGGCCCACCAAGGCGAUGAUCAGUAGCCGGUCUGAGAGGAUGAACGGCCACAUUGGGACUGAGACACGGCCCAGACUCCUACGGGAGGCAGCAGUGGGGAAUCUUCCGCAAUGGACGAAAGUCUGACGGAGCAACGCCGCGUGAGUGAUGACGGCCUUCGGGUUGUAAAGCUCUGUUAAUCGGGACGAAAGGCCUUCUUGCGAAUAGUGAGAAGGAUUGACGGUACCGGAAUAGAAAGCCACGGCUAACUACGUG